CCUACGGGUGGCAGCAGUGAGGAAUAUUGGUCAAUGGGCGAGAGCCUGAACCAGCCAAGUCGCGUGAGGGAGUACUGCCCUAUGGGUUGUAAACCUCUUUUGUCGGGGAGCAAAAGCCGGACGUGUCCGGCUGUGAGAGUACCCGAAGAAAAAGCAUCGGCCAACUCCGUGCCAGCAGCCGCGGUAAUAAGGAGGAUGCGAGCGUUAUCGGGAUUUAUUGGGUUUAAAGGGUGCGCAGGCGGAUUUUUAAGUCAGCGGUAAAAUCGUGGGGCUCAACCCCAUCCAGCCGUUGAAACUGGGGAUCUAGAGUGUGCGAGAGGUAUGCGGAAUGCGUGGUGUAGCGGUGAAAUGCAUAGAUAUCACGCAGAACCCCGAUUGCGAAGGCAGCAUACCGGUGCACAACUGACGCUCAGGCACGAAAGCGUGGGUAUCGAACAGGAUUAGAUACCCCGGUAGUC
Molecule: ribosomal RNA, 458 nt
Filed under: uncultured bacterium
Lineage: Bacteria
Description: partial 16S ribosomal RNA
Rfam family: Bacterial small subunit ribosomal RNA
Source: RNAcentral